RNAcentral lists this small nuclear RNA (62 nucleotides) under Carlito syrichta (Philippine tarsier). RNAcentral describes it as "U7 small nuclear RNA (ENSTSYG00000032328.1)". It matches the Rfam family "U7 small nuclear RNA". From Rfam's summary of the family: Animal histone pre-mRNAs are spliced by a different mechanism than nuclear pre-mRNAs and self-splicing introns. This processing involves the U7 snRNP, which contains only one RNA species: U7. The record is from Rfam by way of RNAcentral. Lineage: Eukaryota; Metazoa; Chordata; Mammalia; Primates; Tarsiidae.
UAGUGCUACAGCUCGUUUCGAAUUUGUCUAGUAGGUUUUCUGGUCUAUGCUGGAAAGUCCCC